GCCUAUAUACCGCCGUCGUCAGCUUACCCUGUGAAGGCCCAGCAGUAAGCAAAAUUGGCCAACCCAAAAACGUCAGGUCGAGGUGUAGCGUACGAGGUGGGAAGAAAUGGGCUACAUUUUCUACAUCAGAAUAUUACGAACAGCAUAUUGAAAAUAUAUGCUCGAAGGUGGAUUUAGUAGUAAAAAGAAAACAGAGUAUCCUUUUGAAUUAGGCUCUGAGACGCGCACACACCGCCCGUCACUCUCCCCUACACAAACUUAAACCAAUAUUUAUAAUAACACAUCAAAAAACACGGGGAGGCAAGUCGUAACAUGGUAAGUGUACCGGAAGGUGCACUUGGAAUAA
This 346-nucleotide ribosomal RNA is filed under the name Heteropneustes fossilis (stinging catfish). RNAcentral describes it as "partial 12S ribosomal RNA". It matches the Rfam family "Bacterial small subunit ribosomal RNA", at positions 1036 to 1533 of the family's 1533-position model. Lineage: Eukaryota; Metazoa; Chordata; Actinopteri; Siluriformes; Heteropneustidae. The record is from RNAcentral.